Molecule: long non-coding RNA, 15541 nt
Filed under: Populus tremula
Lineage: Eukaryota; Viridiplantae; Streptophyta; Magnoliopsida; Malpighiales; Salicaceae
Description: long non-coding RNA (PTRE_LNC003262)
Rfam family: MIR480 microRNA precursor family (bases 2759-2892)
Source: RNAcentral
GAAACUUGUGAGUAUCUCAAGGCUUACUUGUUUGAAGGGCCAGUUUCUGCGGUCACUGGGAGCACUUAAAGUUCUGAUGAUUUCUGAUUUCCCCGAACUAACCUCGUUGUGGCAAAAAGGAACUGGAUUAGAAAAUUUUGAAUAUCCUCAAUUUGUGUCAUUGACAGAGAUUGGUAUGCCCAGCGCUCAUAAAAGUUCAAAAUUGUCAGGCUGUGGUAAGCUGGAUCUUCUGCCAAUCCAUAGGGUGCGUGUGCUUUUGUCUCUUGAGGAUCUGUGCAUCGAAUCAUGUCCAAAUCUUGUGUCCAUUCCUGAAGCUGGACUUUUAUCGUCACUGAGACAUCUAGUACUUCGGGAUUGCAAAGCUCUUAGAUUCACUCCCCCUGAUGGCAUGAGCAAUUGUCCUCUUGAAGACUUGGAGAUAGAAAAGUGUCCUUCGCUCAAAUGCUUUCCAGGAGGGAUGUUACCUGCAACGUUAAAAGGGUUGAAGAUUCGAAACUGUACAGAAUUAAAGUCUCUGCCUGAGGGUUUGAUGCACAACAAAAAUGGCCCUGGCACCCCGUGUCAGUUUGAGCACCUGGAGAUCAUUGGCUGUCCAUCUCUCAAAUCCUUUCCUGAUGGGAAAUUACCACCUCGAAUCAAGACACUAAAAAUCUGGGACUGUUCCCAAUUGAUGCCUCUUUCAGAAAUGAUGUUGCUUGAUGAUAUGUCCCUCGAAUACCUAGCCAUUUCAGACUGCGAAGCCCUGUCAAGCUUUCCUGAGUGCCUUGGCAGCUUCAAGCAUCUCUCUGAAUUAAAUUGAAGUAAUUGUUCUGCUCUGAAGUUCAUUCCGGGAGAUGGCUUUUCCCUCGCUAACCUCAGAACGUUGACUAUAUACAAUUGCAAAAAUCGCAAGUCUCUACCUAAAGCGAUGCGAAAACUCACAUCUCUGCAAGAACUGACAAUUUGUAGCUGCCCAGAUCUGAUAUCCUUUCCAUGUGGUGAUAUGCCUCCGAACUUGACAUCGCUUGAGAUCUGGGAUUGUGAUCGUCUUGAUGGGUGCCUGUCAAAGUGGAACUUGCAAAGUCUAGCCAGCCUUGGUGAUUUUAGUAUCGCUGGUGGAUGUUUUUCGGGCACAGUUUCCUUUCCAGAUGAGAAGUGUCUGUUUCCGACAACUCUAACUUCUGUUCGGAUUGGAAGACUUCCAAAUCUGGAAUCUCUAUCCAUGCAGCUCCAAAGUCUUGCGUAUCUAGAAGAGCUAGAAAUUGUUGUGUCCUAAAUUAAAGUCCUUGCCUAGGGGAUGCCUACCUCAUGCUCUUGGAAGAUUCAGCAUCAGGGACUGUCCGUUAAUGACACAGCGCUGUUCCAAGGAGAAAGGAGUGUACUGGCCGUUGAUAUCCCACAUCCCUUGUGUGGAGAUAGAUGAUGGCCAUGACAUGUAAAGAGUUAUGGGGUUGCCUGUUAUAAUGUCUUUUUCAUAUGCACAUGUAAAAUGUAUCCCAUCUGUAAUCAAUAAUAUUUUGAAUUUUCGAAACAAAGGUGUUCUGUUUCUGACUUGCUGGAAGUUGUGUUUAAUUCUAAUUUUGAAGGGAGAAGGAUUUUUCAUGGUAUUAUGUCAGGUUGUUUGGAUAUUAAUUAUCACAGCCGAACGCGUUGCUUCCUGCCCGAAGAAUUCAGGCUGUUCAUCUCUGUGAAUGUGUUCUUUUGUUAAACAUUCAUUAAAAAUCACUUUGUUGGUAAAAGCGCCAAUCAUAAUGUCUAGAAUUUAUUUCAGAAGAAAAACUGUUUGAAUCGGUGCGAUCGUUUAGUUCCAUAGAGCUCUGGCCACAGCCGAACCAUUUUCAAGCUUUCAGGUGAAAUGCUCUGCCAUCUGCUGUGUUGUUGGGGAACUCCUAGGGAGGAGCGGUUAUUUCAGGGUGGUGAAGAAUUGGUAUUUGAGCAAGAGUUGGGAUCAUUUGGUUAUCUAGUUGUUUGAUGUUUUUCUUUCUCUAGGUUAGAUAUCCCAUGCUUUAUCUCUUGUAUUGAUAUCCCACGCCGUCUUAGGACAGGUUGUGAAGCUAAAGCCUCAAAGGUUAUUGAUAUCCAUGAAGGUUUUAAUCAUGAGGUGUUUCCUCCAUAUUUCCUUCUACGCUUAUCUAGGAUUGUAAUUCAUCGACAGUUGCUGCUUGUACGCGCAGCUUGGAAACUCAGCUACACUCGAUGCUGGAAAGGAUGGAGAACUCAUGAAUGGAAAGAUAACUUCAAGGAGCUAGAAGCAUUCGUUGAAUGAGUAGAUUUUUUUGGCAUUCUUUUUAAAGAGAUCUACCAUUCUUUUUUAAAUAUUUUCAAGCAAUGGGGUACAUGAGUGUUUCCUUUUAAGGGAUAAAUUAGGAAAUCAGCACAUAAAAUAAAAACAAUUAGCUCGCUUUCAUCUUGUUGCGCAUCUAAGCGAGACAGAAUAAAACUCCAAUUAUUUGACUCAACUGGUUGACCAGUUCGUAAUAAUUAAUGAAAUCGGUCGAUCGGUUACAAAAAUAACAUGGAAAAUCUCAAAACUGCUAAAAUCAAGGGGCUUCGAUGAAAUUCUUGAUAUCUAAAGAUCCGACAGUCCGUAAAGCGACACAAUGGCUACUACAAGGAAAACGACCUCUGGAAACUCCUGUAAAGAUUUGAGCGUGAUCUAAUGGUCAUAUCUAAAGUCGUAACCUUUUUGAGCUGUUAUUUUAGUCUAGUGCGACCAGACCUUCUCUUGGGCUUAUACCUGUCCCCUUGGUCUAUAAAUGCAUCUGUUAGGCCAUCCACUUAAUAUUUUUAGGGCAGAUAAUUUAAGGGUUGACAAACCCACACCUGACUAUUCAGAACCACCAGUUAUCACAAUCCCGACUACAUUAUUGACAUUGAAAAACAGAGGACAACUAUUAUGUAAACAAUAACUUCUUGUGAUUUUAAUUGGAGUCUAUUUUUUAGUCUACAAGUUGGAUAAAUGUGUAUAUUUUGACUCAUAAAAUAUAUUUGGAAGAAAAAAUUUAUUAAAUUAUGAUUUUUGUGUGAAACUGUUGACUAGUUCAUGCAACUAGAUUCAAUCAAUUGACCAGUUUAGCCAGAUAAUUUAGAGUUUCACCUUUUCGUGCUUCAGAAGCGCGACAAGGUGAAACUCUAGCCUGUUUGUUUUUGCGUUUCAAAAGCGUUUUUGAAAAAAAAAUGAAAAUUUUUUAUAUUUUUUUCUAAUUUUCUCUUUGCUUCAAAUUACUUUUUUUAGUGUUUUAAAAUCAUUUUGAUGUGCUGAUGUAAAAAAUAUUAUUUUAAUGCAUUUAUGAGCGAAAAAAAUUUAAAAAGCCACUGCUACCACAAUCCCAAACAACCCAAAUCACCUGUUUUAGAAGCACGACAAAGUGAAAGUGCGCUAUUUCACCAAAUGUUUUUCAAAUUGUGUUAUUCCGUGUAACAACCUGUCCCAACCUGCCAGAUAUUGUUCGCUUUGGCCCAUGGGCCUUACGGAUUUGUUCUUGGUGACCACGCAUAGCCCCAAAACGCGUCUUUCAGAGUAGCGCAGUACACUAACCCUGUCAGAUAUUGUCCCCUCUAGGCCUCCCAGUCCACCCAUUUCCAGGGCUUCCACCCUAGGUCCCCCUUAGGAUUUCAAACGUGUUUAACAAGUUAGUAACCAACAUUACUAGUAAGGUCAACUAUCAAAUCCUCUCCCGUUGAUGUGGGUUAUUACAUUCCGUUAAUUUUUUUUAAAUGUGCUAAUUUUAAAAUAAAUAUGUUUUGAGAAUGAGAAAAUAAUUCCAAGCCAUUACAAGGGGAAUAAAAAAAAAAGUUAAGAAGAGAACUGUACAAAAAGGUGUUGGUGCAAAUCCCGAUUAAAAAUCGGUAACAUUACCGUGAAAUAAAUGAUGAAAAAAAGAAAGAUGAAAUUAUCCCAUUUACACCAUUAAUUGAGCUUAAUAUAAGGUCUAAAUGGAAAAGGAUUACAUAAAAAGUUAAAGGGGCUAAGUUCAGAGGCUCAGAUUGAAAGGGGGCAAAUCUAUCACACUGGACCUUUGGCUACUCUUUGGUGUGUGUGUGUGUCAUGAUUAAUUUUCAUUUCUGUUCCAGUUUUUUUGGAAAGAAGACAUCUGUAACCUUCCAACAAUAUAUGGUAGGCUCUCAAAUUCACACGGUUGAGAGAGAAUGAUGGGUUUGGAGUUGGGUUUGAAAUCAGAAUUCGGGCUGUAAAUUCCAGUACUGUCCAAUUUUAUGUUAUCAACCAUAACUCUCAAUCCGACCGUUAGAUCAGACUAAACUUUUAUGAGGACUCUCCUGACAUUUGUUCUUAUAUUGGGUUAAAAUUUCAGGAUAAUAGGAGUUUGGGGCCUUACAAUUAGGUUGGUAGUUAGAUGUGUUACCCAAAAACACAGGAAAAAUAUUAAGAGAGGUAAAAUGGUAAAGUAAGCAAAAUUUCUCUUUAUAAACAAGCAAAAGCGGAUGAAGGAGAACGAAAAGCCCUCCAUACCUUAUUAAGUUUUGAGUGGUUUCUUGCUUGAUUAAGAGAUUCUUAUGAGGACUAAUCAUUCUCUUAUAAAAUAAACAUGAUAUAAAUGAGUUUUGGAGUGAGAAACCAAGAAAAGAAGAUGAAUAUGUAGAGAGGGAAAGUGAGAAAUCUUGAAGAGAAGGAAGACGAGUUUGGGGUCUCAUGCAUCAAACUCCAUGGAAAUAGUGUUUAAAAUGGUAAGCAAGCCUUCACCUUUAUUUAUAUGCAAUUCUUAGUUGGUUUUGGUUAUAGGUGUAAAAUGGGUAUGUGUUUAAGCUUGAGUUUGAUUGAAUGAUGAAUUGUUGUUCUUACACUUUGAUAAUAAUGUGUUUUUGUAUGUAUCUAAGAGUGGGUAAUGUGAAAUUAUUGGAAAAGUUGAAGGAAAAUCCAUGGUUUUGAUUCAUGGUGGCAUUAGGAAAAAAAGAAAUACUUGAAGGGUUUGGGUUUUGUUGAUUGAUUUGACAUGUUUUAGUUGUUUUGGGAUGGAAUGCAUGUUAAAAGCUGAAGUGAUAAUCAUGGUUAUACCAUGGAGGAUAUUCAGCCAAAAUAGAAAAUAUUGGGGGAGGGAUUUUGAAUGAUUGUGGUGAUGAACUAUAGCUAAGCUUGAAAUGAUAUGUGUUGGAAAAAAAAACUAAUGUAAGAUUAACAUAAGUGUAUGUUGUUAAAGGUUUGUUGCAUAUGUUUAAUUGUAAAAGGAGAAAGUGAGAAAUGAAUGGUUUAUUUUUUGUUGUGUUAAUAAUUCUAAACAAGGAUAUUAAUGUAUGUAUUAUGGAAAAGAAAGAGGAGAAAUUCCAAGGGAACGAGUUUCUCUAUUUUGACCAAAUCUUGCUAUGUUGUAGAUGAAGGGAAAUUAUUUGAAUGUCUUGAUUUAGAUUUGGUUUAAAUAUGUGAUGUAAUGUAAUGAUGCUAAAUGACCUUGGAUAAUAUUGUUUAUAAAUGAUAAUUAGUUGGAAGUUGUAAAGGAUUUUCAAGGGGUGAAAAUCCUUGUCCAAAAUUUUAGUUGAAAAAAAAGAGGCUACUGUGAUUGUUUAUUUUGAGCCUUAAAAAGAUAUAACUUGGAUUUAGUUUUUUUAUGAACGUUGUAAGUAUGGAUGUUAGAUUUCAAAUGAAACUAAUCUUGAUUAAUUUGGAGUUGUUAACUCCAUAUAUAAACUAAAUAUUGAAUAAUGGUCUAAACCGAUAUAAAUCUAGACACAUUUUGGAUGCUACAGUGAUUGUUUAAUUUGAGCCUUAAAAUGAUAAAGUUUGGAGUUUGUUUCUCUACCAAAGUUAUAUGUAUGGAUGUUGUUGCUACCCAAUUUUUUACCUAUGUUUUGAUAAAUUUUCAGAAAAAUCUAAAAAUAGAGAAAAACAACGAAAAUCCAAAAAAUAUGUUUUUUAAUAUAUUUUCAUAAUUUUAGCAUUUUCAACGUCGUCUAAAAAAGAAUUUAAAAUUUUAAGGGUCUUUCGAACGCGUUCGACUUUUCACGCGUCAUUUUUAAAAUCAUUGAUUUUCCUCAUCGAGUUGACGUUAAUAUUGCUCGUUUUCAAAAAUAUACAAAAAAAUAAGAAAAAUAAAAAUUUACAAAAAAAAAAAGUCGAGGGAUCAAGUUGGGAGACCUAGCAACAUAUUUGCCUAUAAAUAGUAGUUUCCAACCCUUGUAUAAGGGGGGGCAAUUUUGAAAGAAAAAAAAUACAAAAAAAAAGAGGAAACCUAACCCUAAAAUACAGAAAAAUCAAUUUUGAAGUUAAAAGUGACCGAAUCUGUGCAGGGCCAAUUGAAUUGGUUGAUUGUUCCAAAAACUAAGUUAAGAGUUUUCUUGCUAUUGUGUUAAUUGUUUCCUUUUAGAUACCAUGUAUCAAAGAAGAAACAUGCCUAAGUCCAACAAUAUCGCUACUGUUUUGUCAAGUAGUAGUGCCGAAGCAAUAACAUUUGUGAUUGUGUUGUUAAUUCAGGUGACGAUCAUGAAGAGACACAUGAAGAGGCAUCUACCAUGGAAGUUACUGACCAAGGCUCGAACAAUGUGGACAACAGAGUUGGAAUCCCCUUUACCAGACAUUUUAUUAGGUAAAAUUAUUGUAGAAUGGAAGGAUGACCUCACUAUAUAAUUAAUGUUUUUUUUCUUUUUAAAUACUGAAGUCAUUUAUUUGUAUUUGGUUAUUUUAAGUUUUUCAUUAAAUUAAAAUGGCUUCAAUGAAUUGAUUUUCAGGUUUACCAAUAAUAAAGUUGUCGAUUCGAUCACAUCUACGAUGAAAUUAUCAUUCGAAGAACUAUUAUUUCAAUGGAGUCAGCUUCAUAAGCGUCUUGAAUAUAUGAAUAUUAUAGUAGCUUGGCGGAGAAAGUUUAAGAUUAGUUAAUGAUCUUUAAUUUGAGUUAAUAGUAUUUUAAAAUUUUAAAAUUAAUUAAUUUAUGAUUUUAAUAAAAGAAAAACAUUUACUGGACGAUAGCAAUGAGAUGUUGGUCAAGCAAAUAUGGGAAAACCACAAUGUAACUAGGAAAGUAUUAAUAUAAAAAAUGUUAUAUUAUAGUAAAUUUGAUUUUUUUUUUAAUUUCCUUACCCUAUUUUUGUUUAACAAAUUUUCAUAUUUGGUUAUGUGAUUUGUGGUAUGAUGUCCACAAACAAGCAAAUAAUGGAGCCAACCCUAUGAUGUAACAAUGUGAAAAAACUAUAGACCAAGGCACGUAACAAAGUGUAAUUGGGCACGUAACAAGAUUGCAUUUUGCAUCAGGACUCAAAAUAGAAAUAAAGAAACUUGUGAUUCGAUGAGCAAGCAUUUUGAAGGAGCGUUUUCAUUUAUGAACCAUGCAAAGCUUUUAGUAAGAGCUUGUUAUUAUUUAUAUUUUAUUAUUUUUCUUAUGAUUUUAAUUAAGUAUUUAUUUCUGAAACUGUUAAAACAAACUAUUUAAUUUGUGGGAGAAACAUCUUGGAAGUGAACCGACUCCAAUAAAGUAUACGAGGUAACUUAUAAAGAAGGGAUAUAAGGGAAAAAAAAUAAAUAUCGAUAAAAGAGCGAAAAUGUUCGUUGUAAGAGCUUUAUAUAUAUAUAUAUAUAUAUAUAUAGUUAUCAUUACAUUUCUAAUGUUUAUCAUCAUUAAUGUGAAUUUAGGAUUUUAAGGUUUUUUUAUUUGUUUUGUAUGAUAUAUCUAAAGCUUGCAUGAUUGAGAAAUUUGGUGAAGACACUUCUACUUAUCAUCAUCAUUUUUAAUUAUAGUUGUAGGUUAGUGUAAUUAAUGAACCUGAUAGAAAUCAUGUUUAUAGUAUGUGUAUAACAUCAAUUCAAGAAAUGAGAGCUAGUUGUACUGUUUUAAUUGUGGACACAUCAUUUUCCUUGCCAAGCUUGACAUCAUCGAACAUUGAUGAGUUAGUACAAAAAAAAGUUGUGAAAUAACAGUAUUUUUAGUUGCCUAGUUCGGAGGGAAAAAAAGAGCACUAUUCAAACAAGAAAUCAAGAUGUAUUGAGAGCAAUUUGGUGGAUAUAUAGCUUUACCAUUGCCUUUUCCUCGUGAGCCUUUUAGUUCAAGAUCUGUGAAAUCUUUAUUAUAAAAUUUUUGUUAUGGUGAUUCGUUUUUGUUGUGAUUGUGAUUUUAAAAUGAAAAAAAAAGAAGCAUUUGGGGUUAUAAUAACUAAACAAUAAAAGAAAAUUAGUGAAAUGCCAAUGAAAUUGUUGAUGGACAUGGGAUUUCAUUGGUAUAUUGUUAUAAAGUUUGCACAAAUCUCGUUGAAAAGUUACUUAAGGUUUGGACAUUUAUGAUAAAAUCUAUGUUCGACAAUUUUGUAAGCAUUUAAGGUGCUGAUGGAAAAAUAAACUGUAAAAACUUGUCUUUUUGCUCAGAUGUUCCAUCUGCAUUUUCAUCGGGAAUGAAAGUUGGUGAUGAAAAUGCCAACAAAAGAUAAAUCCUUAACUAGAAACUCACUAUUGAGAAGUUUUUAUAUGUACCAAACACUCAUGAAAAAGUAUUUUCAACGUCAUUUAAAAAAUAUUUAAAUUUUUAAGGGUUUUUCGAAUGCGUUCGAUUUUUCACGCUUCAUUUUUAAAAUCAUUGAUUUUCAUUAUCAAGUUGACAUUAAUAUCACUACAAGAUUUCACAGUUUUACCGACGGAAAUAUUCCGUCGGUGUCUGAUAGCACGUUCGUCAGUAAAGUAUUUACUAACGGAAUACGCCCGUCGGAAUACCUUUUGUCGGUGAUUCCACAUUCCGUCGCUAUAUCGGUCGGUAAUACAAAAAAAACAUUUACCGACGGAACGUGCGCGCCAAAAAAAAAAGUUUCCCGCUUGGAAUAUACCGACGGACUACCUCCGUCCGCAAAAGUGUCGGUGAUAUUUCAUACCGACCGAAUAAAUCCGUCUGUAAAUUCGUCGGUAUUUUUAUACCGACGGAUUAUUUCCGUCGGUGAUGGGAUGGAAUACCGCAGACACUGUCCAAUGCCGACGGAUUUAUUCCGUCGGUAAAUCCCUGUGUAAUUUUUUUUUUUUAAUUAUUUAGAAAAAAUAAUAUAAAUUAAUGGUAAUACAAACCAAUUAUGCAAAUAAAAUUUAUAUUAAGCAACAAAAACUCAAAGUUAAAUAAUAUUAAUUACAAAAUGAAUGUUUUUUUAAAAAAACAAUUAAUAUAAAGGUGGAGGAGGAGGAGGAGGAGGGUGGGGGUUAGGCGGCCAAAAAGGAUUAGGCGCACAUGUUCCACCUUGUGUCAUGUUCAUGACCAUUUGACGAAGCUCUUCAUAGGCCGCUCUUUGUUGUUCAGACUCUGCUCUGCGUUGUUCGUUCGCCAAUCUGUGUUGUUCGUUCGCCAAUCUUUGCUCUGCUUUGAGUUGUGUGUACGCCUCUGAUAGGUGGUCGCACCUUUGCUGCAAGGCCACAAACUCCUUAGAUUGGGAGCUCGAUACAGAUUGGGAGCUCCCACGGUUGAAGCAGUACCGGUCGACCGCAACUUGGCAGCGGUAGUGUUGGAGAGCCCGUAAACCCGAUUUUUAUCGGGUCCACCUGACGAUCCAGCCUCCAUCCACAAAUCCGGAUCGAAUUCCGGAUGGGUCGAAGGAUCAUCCCCGUAUCUCUCCCUCAACCGAUUAUUAUAGGUCUCCUGAAAAAAAAAAUCAUAUUCAAUUCAAUAAACAUUAUAAUAACUUAUAAAAUAAAAUGGUUGAACAAACAUACCACAAACUGUUGAGCACGGUUGUUAACGAACUGUUGCGUCCCCUUUUGGCGGUCAUGACUUCGCACGUGCGUCUCCACAAACAGCUCCAUAGGGCUCGACUCACGUCCAAGAGACGUAGCCUAUAUAUAAUGAAAAAAAUGUAUUAACAACAAAUUAAUUGAACGAUAUAUUUCAUUUAAAUUAAUCUUACCAUCCGUUUCGCAUGUGCAGCAAACGGAACGGAGCCGCCGGUGUGCGUUGUAACCGAGCCAUGAAUUGGCCGAUUCCGGUUGCCGGCACCGGACUGUGAGCGUCGAGUGAACCGCUCAGACGUCACAUGCUGAAGAUAGUGCGGCCAUAUAUCUUCUGAGAUGUAUAUUGGUUUGAAAUCCCUCCAAACCCCUUAUCCCUCGCUGUUUUUUUUGCUUUUUUCUGGGCGUCAUACCAAAAAUCACGCAACCUAAUUCACGCACGAAAAAAUUACAUUUCGAAACAUAAAUAAUUAUGUAAAAAAAAGUCAUAUUGUUUUCGAUGUUACCUAAUUGCCGCGUGAUUUUCCCAUACCCUCCUCACAACAGUGUCAUGUUCAUCGUCCCAGCAGAAUCGAUGUUGUAUAUAAAAAAAUAAUUUUUUAAAAUGUUAAUAAUUUAUUUACAAUUAUAACUUGAAUUGAUUAGAAAUAAGCUGAAAAUUAUAUAUUAACACGAACCUCAAAUCUACGAAACCAUGCAUUGAUUUGAGGCAUCCAUUCAGGAUGUCUGGAUAUCUAACUCCAUUGAAACAAUGGAAUCUCCAUCGACGCUUUAAACGCCGAUGAUAUUAAUCGAGCGGCCUCAAUGUUUGUGAACCUGAAAAGAAAUGAAAUUAAUUUGUGAUUACUUCAUAAAUUAUGUUUUAAAUUUGUUUUUUUUUAUAUAAAAAAAACUAAAACCUUAACAAACUUACAUUGAAAGAUCUUCCUUCCACUGUGCCUCGAACUGGCGGGUAAAUUGAUUCCGCUUCGAACGCACGCCGCGUCUGCGAUGUGAAACAUCACUGGAAGAGACAGCAUCGGUUGACGGCGCAGGUGGUCAACGCUGCUAGACGAACUUGAUUCGACUAGACGCGAACGACCAGCUCUGGUUUUCAUUUUGCAUAUCUAAACAAUUUUAUAUUAAUAAUUGUAUAAUAAAAUUCAAAAGUUAAAAAAAUAUCGGCAGCACCUCCCCUAUACUGGAUACUACCCAAAUCCACAAACCUGCAAAUAUUAACAAUAGCCACAACCAAUCGAACCAAUCUAUACUAAUUAUUCCAACAUAUUCAACUAUUAAUCCUAAGAUAAAUUCAACGUUAACAAUUACAAUUCACAAAUUAAUCAAUCAUUAUAUUCAAAACAAUAAAAAAUAUGACAAAAAAUAAAUUCAAUAAAUUCAACAAAUUAUAAUUCAACAAAUUAAUCAUUUUAAUUCAACAUUAACAAUUAUAAUUCAACAAAUUAAUCAAUAAUUAUAUUCAAAACAAUAAAAAAUAUGACAAAAAAUAAAUUCAAUAAAUUCAACAAAUUAUAAUUCAACAAAUUAAUCAUUACAAUUCAACAUUAACAAUUAUAAUUCAACAAAUUAAUCAAUAAUUAUAUUCAAAACAAUCAAAAAUAUGACAAAAAAUAAAUUCAAUAAAUUCAACAAAUUAUACUUCAACAAAUUAAUCAUUAUAAUUCAACAUUAACAAUUAUAAUUCAACAAAUUAAUCAUUAUAAUUAUGUCAACAAAACAAUAAAAAAUAUUCAAAAAAUUCAAAAAAAAAACCUACAUCAAUAAAAGGAACGAAAUAUACAUAUCUUAAUAAUGUGACAAAUUCAAAACUUUAUCUACAUUACCAAAAAAAACACCAAAACAACAAAAUAACAAAAAUAAAAACAACUAAAAAUAAAUUAAAAGUAAAUAAAUUAAAUUGGAAAUCGAUAAUUAUUCCAACAAACGCAAUUAUUAAUUCUAAGGUAAAUUCAACAUUAACAAUAUUAAUUCAAUAAAUUAAUCAAUAAUUAUAUAGGCAAUACAACAAUAAAUUAUAUUCAAUAAAUUAAAAAAAAAUAUAGACUAACAAUUAAAUUAACAAAUAUUCAACAAAUUCAAAAAAUUCAAAAAAAAUCAAAUAUUCAACUUUAACUAAUUCUAAGUUAAAUUAACUAAUAACAAUUCUAACAACACAACAACAAAAAAUAUUCAAAAAAUUCAAAAAAUAAAACCUACAUCAAGAAAAGGAACCAAAUAUACAUACCUUAAUAAUGUGUCAAAUUCAAAACUUUAUCUACAUUGCAACAAAAAACACCAAAACAACAAAUAUCUCACCGUUCGAAUGGGUACAUCCAUCUAUACUGGACCGGUCCUCCAGCUUUUGCCUCGAACGGUAGAUGUAUAGGGAGAUGCUCCAUUGAGUCAAAAAAUGAAGGAGGGAAUAUCAUCUCAAGUUUGCAUAGUGUCUCGAUGAUAUUCGUUUGAAGCAUCUCAAUAUGCUCAACAUUCAUCUUGCUGGAGCAUAUAUCUCUGAAGAAAUGACUGAUCUCCGUUAGUGCAUCCCAUAUUCCCUUUGGCAACAAAUCACGAAAAGCUAACGGGAUGAGUGUUUGCAUAAACACGUGGCAGUCAUGGCUCUUCAUUCCAUACAAUCUACAGUCCUCUAUGUUAACAAGCCUUGAUAUGUUCGAUGCAUGUCCAUCCGGGAAACGCAGACUCUUAAGCCAUUUGUAGACUAGCAGUUGUGCGUUUUUCUCUAACACGAAGCUUGCCUUUGGUUUUGCAACCCGUGACUCGUCAUAAACCAACUCCAUAUUUUUACGGUUAUAGUAUAAAGCUAUAUCCAAUCUAGCCUUCAUGUUGUCCUUUGUCUUCCCCUUCACAUCCAUGACGGUGUUGAAAAUAUUCUCAAACACGUUCUUUUCGAUGUGCAUGACAUCAAGGUUAUGGCGGAGAAGAUUAGUCUUCCAAUACGGAAGCUCCCAAAAGAUACUUCGCUUUACCCAAUUAUGGGUUAAACCAAAACCAGGAAACUUUUGCUUACCUGAUUGAAGGCCAAACACAAUGUCACCGUACUCUGAUACAACAUGAUGCAAUUCUUCACCAGAAAGACGCGGGGAUGCAACAUCUUUUUCAACUCUACCAACAAAGAAAUCUUUUCUGUUCUUUCUGAACCUGUGAUUAAGUGGCAAGAAGCGACGGUGACAGUCAAAAAAAGAAGCUUUACCUCCGUUUGCUAGCGUGAAUGCCUUGUUGUUUUCCAUGCAGUAUGGACAUGCGAGUUUCCCAUGCGUGCUCCAACCAGAAAGCAUUCCAUAAGCUGGAAAAUCACUGAUAGUCCACAUCAAAGCCGCCCUCAUAAGGAAAUUUUGUUUCCUCGAUAUAUCAUAAGUCAGAGAUCCGGAGGACCACAACUGCGCCAGCUCAUCUAUCAACGGUCGAAGACAAACAUCUAUAUUCCGCCCCGGGCUGCUUGGACCGGGUAUGACAGUAGAUAGAAACAUGAACUCCGGCCUCAUACACAUUCCCGGUGGCAAGUUAUAAACUGUGAGAAUGACCGGCCAACAAGAAUAGGGAGCAGCAAAUGACCCAAAUGGGUUGAACCCGUCUGUACACAACCCAAGUCGAACAUUCCUUGAUUCAGCAGAAAAGUCAGGAUGAACACUGUUAAAGCGUUUCCACGCUUCGCCGUCAGAAGGAUGCACCCAUCACACCAUCAACGACAUCGUGUGUUUGGUGCCAUGUCAUGUGCUCAGCAGUCCUUGGUGACAUAAAUAACCUCUGCAGUCUAGGUGUGAUCGGGAAAUAUCUAAGUUUUUUAUAUGCCACUAGAGUCUUCCCCCUGCCAGUUCUGGGUUUGUAACGGGAAUGCCCGCAUGUCAUGCACUCGGUCAUCUCAGCAUUUUCAAGGUAGUAUAACAUGCAGAAGUUAGGGCACAUGUCAAUUUUCUGGUAUCCUAAACCGAGGGGUUUCAUCAUGGACUUCGCAGCAUAGAAGUUCUCUUUGAGCCUGUUCCCUUCAGGUAAAAUGCUUCUUGCCCAAUCAAUAAUUUUGUCAUACCCGGCCUCACUCAACCCGUGAUCUGACUUGAUGGUGAACACCUGUGCCACAGCCGAUAAUUUACUGUGGUUUGUGCAGCCAUCCCAUAAUGGUUCGUCAGAAUCUUUCAACAAAUCAAAAAACCUAGCUGCCUCUGCAUUAGGUUCUUCUUCUACGAUUGGACAUUGAUUGACAUUAUCUUGAUUCAUUCUCAUUGCAUCCAUAACCAUGUUUCUGUAAGGAUUAGUGUUGUCAUUUGCCGCUUCAUGCACGUUGCUAGCACUAGAAGUUGACCCAACCACCGUUUCUCCCAUUCUCCUAUUACUAACAAAUACCUCUCCAUGUGCAUACCAACACUCGUAAUCCUCCACAAACCCUUUGUGUAGAAGAUGCAUCAUUACAACAUCUGGAUGCAGAUACUUUUUAUUUUGACACUUCCUGCAUGGACACCUAAUACCGCCUCCAGUAAAAUUUCUGGGAAUAGAUGUUGCGAAAUUAAUAAAACCCUGAACCCCGUUACAAUAAUCCAUCCUCCGCAAUCCUUGGGGUGAAUCUAGAUACAUCCAUGAACGAUCAUCCAUGACUUCUAUCGAACCUCUAUAAAAAGGACCCAUUAAGCAAGCUCUUAAUUAUUUCAAAACAUAACAUGUAAUUCGGUAAUUCUACAAAUUAAGUUUUAACAAUUUUCAAACAAAUACAAUCUUACAAAAUCUAAAACAAACCAUAACAAGUAUAAAAUUAUACAUUCAUAUACUACAAGUUUGUUUGAGAAAUAACAAUAAAACAUGUACAUCUACUAAAAAAAAAUACAUGUACUAAAAAAACAAUAAAAUUGACAUUUAAAUGUUAAAAUUUUAAAAGAUAGAAUUACUUGCAAAAAAUGAUAAAAUCCAUCGGUAAAUCAGAACACCGAUGUUGUGACCACAAAACUUCAAGAAAUACAACUUGUUGUGCUGAGAUGAGGAAGAUUUUUGUUUUGGGGCGAGGGGGGGCUGGUUAUUUUGCAGAUGGGGAGGGUUAGGAUUAGGAAGAAGAAGGAGAAAUGGGGGAGGAGAGAGUGUUGGCAGAGUGGCCAUAUAUUCACUUUUGCCGACGGACUUGCCGACGGUUUUGAUUCCAUCGGUGAAUACGUCGGCGAAACCGUCGAUAAUUCGGACGGGCAAUCGACACGUCACCGCACGGACCUGCUAUUCAAAUCCCUCGGUGAUUCCGUCGGUAUUUUUAACUGUGCACCGGUCACGUCACCGGUACGGAUCUGGCAUUUCAAAUCCGUCGGUAUGUCUGUUGGUAUUUAGCAAAUUUCUGGUGGUGUGUUGGUUGUUUUCAAAAAUAUACAAAAAAAUAAGAAAAAUCAAAAUUUACAAAAAAAAAAAGUUGAGGGACCAAGUUGGGAGACCUAGCAACAUAUUUGUCUAUAAAUAGUAGUUUCCAACCCUUGCAUAAGGGAGGGCAAUUUUAAAAGAAAAAAAAUACAAAAAUUAGAGGAAACCUAACCCUAAAAAUACAAAAUUUCCUAGUCUUUCUGAGCUUACUUUAUGGAAUUGUCCCAAGUUGCUUGGCAAGUUCCCUAGCUGUCUUCCUUCUUGUGUAAAGAUUACGAUUGCAAAAUGCCCAAUUUUGGUUGAUUCAGACGAAAAGCUUCCAGUGCAUAGUGAACUGAAAUUAGAAGAAUGUGAUGAGGUCACACCUAAAUGCAUAUUUCAUAACUCGUCCCUAAUCACAUUGAAACUUGGGAGUAUGUCAAGGCUUACUUGUUUGAAGGGCCAGUUUCUGCGGUCACUGGGACUUAAAGUUCUGAUGAUUUCUGAUUUCCCCAAACUAACCUCUUUGUGGCAAAAAGGAACUGAAUUAGAAAAUUUUGAACAUCCUCAAUUUGUGUCAUUGACAGAGAUUGGUAUGCCCAGCACUCAUAAAAGUUCAAAAUUGUC